UCUCUCUCUCUCUCUCCCUCAAUCGAUACCACCAGCCGCGGCCGCCUCCACCUCUCUCUCCCUCCUCUACCUCAAUCGGUACCACCAGCCGCGACCGCCUCCACCUCUCUCUCCCUCAUUCCCUACCACCACGCUGUGCAGCCUCAGAUUACAGGUAAGACCCCUACCACCACGCUGUGCAGCCUCGGAUUGAGCCUUACAGGGGCCAAGGAGCAGCAAUAGCUCUUCAUCAAAUCCGGAAUCCAAAACUAAAGACAAGUGUGCUGUAAUGUAAAGAAAGCAUUUGUAUAUGAUGUAUUUCCCUCCCAGUUUUGGCCAAUUUGUUGUAAUACAUGAUAAGAACAUCACCUAAGCAAUCAUCAUUUGUGUGAA
Molecule: long non-coding RNA, 372 nt
Organism: Magnolia sinica
Lineage: Eukaryota; Viridiplantae; Streptophyta; Magnoliopsida; Magnoliales; Magnoliaceae
Exons: 2
Source: RefSeq, a predicted model, not a curated record